RNAcentral lists this ribosomal RNA (468 nucleotides) under uncultured bacterium. RNAcentral's name for it is "partial 16S ribosomal RNA". It matches the Rfam family "Bacterial small subunit ribosomal RNA", at positions 28 to 507 of the family's 1533-position model. The record is from RNAcentral.
GACGAACGCUGGCGGCGUGCUUAACACAUGCAAGUCGAACGGAAAGGCCCUGCUUUUGUGGGGUGCUCGAGUGGCGAACGGGUGAGUAACACGUGAGUAACCUGCCCUUGACUUUGGGAUAACUUCAGGAAACUGGGGCUAAUACCGGAUAGGAGCUCCUGCUGCAUGGUGGGGGUUGGAAAGUUUCGGCGGUUGGGGAUGGACUCGCGGCUUAUCAGCUUGUUGGUGGGGUAGUGGCUUGCCCAGGCCUUGACGGGUAGCCGGCCUGUGAGGGUGACCGGGCACAUUGGGACUGAGAUACGGCCCAGACGCCUACGGGAGGCAGCAGGGGGGAAUAUUGCACAAUGGGAGGAAGCCUGAUGCAGCAACGCCGCGUGCGGGAUGACGGCCUUCGGGUUGUAAACCGCUUUCGCCUGUGACGAAGCGUGAGUGACGGUAAUGGGUAAAGAAGCACCGGCUAACUACGUG